RNAcentral lists this ribosomal RNA (497 nucleotides) under uncultured bacterium. Its description in RNAcentral is "partial 16S ribosomal RNA". It matches the Rfam family "Bacterial small subunit ribosomal RNA", at positions 28 to 507 of the family's 1533-position model. The record is from RNAcentral.
GAUGAACGCUGGCGGCGUGCCUAAUACAUGCAAGUCGAGCGAACGGACGAGAAGCUUGCUUCUCUGAUGUUAGCGGCGGACGGGUGAGUAACACGUGGAUAACCUACCUAUAAGACUGGGAUAACUUCGGGAAACCGGAGCUAAUACCGGAUGAUAUUUUGAACCGCAUGGUUCAAAAGUGAAAGACGGUCUUGCUGUCACUUAUAGAUGGAUCCGCGCUGCAUUAGCUAGUUGGUAAGGUAACGGCUUACCAAGGCAACGAUGCAUAGCCGACCUGAGAGGGUGAUCGGCCACACUGGAACUGAGACACGUUCCAGCCUCCUACGGGAGGCAGCAGUAGGGAAUCUUCCGCAAUGGGCGAAAGCCUGACGGAGCAACGCCGCGUGAGUGAUGAAGGUCUUCGGAUCGUAAAACUCUGUUAUUAGGGAAGAACAUAUGUGUAAGUAACUGUGCACAUCUUGACGGUACCUAAUCAGAAAGCCACGGCUAACUACGUG